RNAcentral lists this ribosomal RNA (449 nucleotides) under uncultured bacterium. RNAcentral's name for it is "partial 16S ribosomal RNA". It matches the Rfam family "Bacterial small subunit ribosomal RNA", at positions 29 to 523 of the family's 1533-position model. The record is from RNAcentral.
AACGAACGCUGGCGGCAGGCCUAACACAUGCAAGUCGAACGCCCUAGCAAUAGGGAGUGGCGCACGGGUGCGUAACGCGUGGGAAUAUGCCCUUCACUGCGGAAUAACGUUUGGAAACGAACGCUAAUACCGCAUAAUGACUCCGGUCAAAAGAUUUAUCGGUGAAGGAUUAGCCCGCGUUAGACUAGCUAGUUGGUGAGGUAAGAGCUCACCAAGGCAACGAUCUAUAGCUGGUCUGAGAGGAUGAUCAGCCACACUGGGACUGAGACACGGCCCAGACUCCUACGGGAGGCAGCAGUGAGGAAUAUUGGACAAUGGGCGCAAGCCUGAUCCAGCCAUGCCGCGUGAGUGAAGAAGGCCUUCGGGUUGUAAAGCUCUUUCAGUUGUAAAGAUAAUGACGGUAACAACAGAAGAAGCCCCGGCUAAAUUCGUGCCAGCCGCCGCCGUAA